This 154-nucleotide ribosomal RNA is filed under the name Escherichia coli. Its description in RNAcentral is "partial 23S ribosomal RNA". The stretch from base 1 to 137 matches the Rfam family "Bacterial large subunit ribosomal RNA", at positions 2794 to 2925 of the family's 2925-position model. The record is from RNAcentral. Lineage: Bacteria; Pseudomonadati; Pseudomonadota; Gammaproteobacteria; Enterobacterales; Enterobacteriaceae.
CGGACCCGAGAUGAGUUCUCCCUGACUCCUUGAGAGUCCUGAAGGAACGUUGAAGACGACGACGUUGAUAGGCCGGGUGUGUAAGCGCAGCGAUGCGUUGAGCUAACCGGUACUAAUGAACCGUGAGGCUUAACCUUACAACGCCGAAGCUGUU